This 103-nucleotide small RNA is filed under the name Marinobacter sp. THAF197a. RNAcentral describes it as "t44 RNA". It matches the Rfam family "t44 RNA". From Rfam's summary of the family: This family consists of a number of bacterial RNA genes of between 135 and 170 bases in length. The t44 gene is found between the map and rpsB genes in all species in the full alignment apart from Shigella flexneri. Lineage: Bacteria; Pseudomonadati; Pseudomonadota; Gammaproteobacteria; Pseudomonadales; Marinobacteraceae. The record is from RNAcentral.
AAACGAAUCCGGCAAAUUCACACACGUGUCAGCACGUUGUCCCAGGGUGCCGGCUCCUGUUAGAGGAGGCUGGUUGGGGCAAUCGGACGCGUGGAGGACUAAC